GUAGGGAAUCUUCGGCAAUGGGGGCAACCCUGACCGAGCAACGCCGCGUGAGUGAAGAAGGUUUUCGGAUCGUAAAGCUCUGUUGAUAGUAAAGAACGUGUGUGAGAGUGGAAAGUUCACACAGUGACGGUAACUAUCCAGAAAGGGACGGCUAACUACGUGCCAGCAGCCGCGGUAAUACGUAGGUCCCGAGCGUUGUCCGGAUUUAUUGGGCGUAAAGGGAGCGCAGGUUGUUUUUUAAGUUGGGUGUAAAAGGCAGUGGCUUAACCGUUGUUGACAUCCAAAGCGGAAAGACUUGAGGACAGAAGAGGAGAGUGGAAUUCCAUGUGUAGCGGUGAAAUGCGUAGAUAUAUGGAGGAACACCGGAGGCGAAAGCGGCUCUCUAGUCUGUGCCUGACACUGAGGCUCGAAAGCGUGGGGAGCCAACAGGAUUAGAUACCCUAGUAGUCC
This 450-nucleotide ribosomal RNA is filed under the name uncultured bacterium. Its description in RNAcentral is "partial 16S ribosomal RNA". It matches the Rfam family "Bacterial small subunit ribosomal RNA", at positions 354 to 796 of the family's 1533-position model. The record is from RNAcentral.